CCUACGGGAGGCAGCAGUGGGGAAUAUUGCACAAUGGGGGAAACCCUGAUGCAGCGACGCCGCGUGAGUGAAGAAGUAUCUCGGUACGUAAAGCUCUAUCUGCAGGGAAGAUAAUGACGGUACCUGAGCAAGAAGCCUCGGCCUACUACGUUCCAGCAGCCGCGGUAACACGGAGGGGGCACGCGUUAUCCGGAUUUACUGGGUGUAAAGGGGGCGUAGACGGAAGCACAAGUCUGGAGUGAAAGCCCGGGGCUUAACCUCGGAACUGACUUUGAAACUGUCCGGCUGGAGUGCAGGAGAGGAAAGCGGAAUUCCUGGUGUAGCGGUGAAAUGCGUAGAUAUUAGGAGGAACACCGGUGGCGAAGGCGGCUUACUGGACUGUAACUGACGUUGAGGCUCGAAAGCGUGGGGAGCAAACAGGAUUAGAUACCCGGGUAGUC
Molecule: ribosomal RNA, 440 nt
Filed under: uncultured bacterium
Lineage: Bacteria
Description: partial 16S ribosomal RNA
Rfam family: Bacterial small subunit ribosomal RNA
Source: RNAcentral